RNAcentral lists this ribosomal RNA (277 nucleotides) under uncultured prokaryote. RNAcentral's name for it is "partial 16S ribosomal RNA". It matches the Rfam family "Bacterial small subunit ribosomal RNA", at positions 524 to 800 of the family's 1533-position model. The record is from RNAcentral.
CACGUAGGGGGCGAGCGUUGUCCGGAAUUACUAGGCGUAAAGGGCAGGCAGGCGGAUCCAUAAGUUUAUCGUUUAAGGCGUCGGCUUAACCGGCGUAGGGCGGUAGAUACUGUGGAUCUGGAAUGCGGUUGGGGAAGACAGAAUUCCUGGUGUAGCGGUGGAAUGCGCAGAGAUCAGGAGGAAUACCGAAGGCGAAGGCAGGUCUCUGGGCCACUACUGACGCUGAGAAGCGAAAGCAUGGGGAGCGAACAGGAUUAGAUACCCCCGUAGUCCCUGA